This 83-nucleotide transfer RNA is filed under the name Anaerolineaceae bacterium. RNAcentral's name for it is "tRNA-Tyr". It matches the Rfam family "tRNA". Rfam says of the family: Transfer RNA (tRNA) molecules are approximately 80 nucleotides in length. Their secondary structure includes four short double-helical elements and three loops (D, anti-codon, and T loops). Lineage: Bacteria; Bacillati; Chloroflexota; Anaerolineae; Anaerolineales; Anaerolineaceae. The record is from RNAcentral. RNAcentral also lists the same sequence under 3 other names.
GGGGUCGUGUCCCGAGCGGCAAAGGGGGCGGGCUGUAAACCCGCUGGCGUAAGCCUUCGCAGGUUCGAGUCCUGCCGGCCCCA